CCUACGUGAGGCAGCAGUGAGGAAUAUUGGUCAAUGGCCGAGAGGCUGAACCAGCCAAGUCGCGUGAGGGAAGACGGCCCUACGGGUUGUAAACCUCUUUUGUCGGGGAGCAAAGCGAGUCACGUGUGACUCAUUGAGAGUACCCGAAGAAAAAGCAUCGGCUAACUCCGUGCCAGCAGCCGCGGUAAUACGGAGGAUGCGAGCGUUAUCCGUAUUUAUUGGGUUUAAAGGGUGCGCGGGCGGAGGUGAAAGUAAGCGGUCAACUUGCGGGGCUCAACCCCGUACUGCCGUUGAAACUGGAUCCCUGGAGUGCGCGUGAAGUAUGCGGAAUGCGUGGGGUAGCGGUGAAAUGCAUAGAUAUCACGCAGAACUCCGAUUGCGAAGGCAGCAUACCGGCGCGCAACUGACGCUCAUGCACGAAAGCGUGGGUAUCGAACAGGAUUAGAUACCCCGGUAGUC
This 459-nucleotide ribosomal RNA is filed under the name uncultured bacterium. RNAcentral describes it as "partial 16S ribosomal RNA". It matches the Rfam family "Bacterial small subunit ribosomal RNA", at positions 338 to 795 of the family's 1533-position model. The record is from RNAcentral.